GCUCGUGCCGUGAGGUGUUGGGUUAAGUCCCGCAACGAGCGCAACCCCUAUCCUCUGUUGGUCCGCAAGGAUCUCUCUGAGGAAACUGCCAGCGAUGAGCUGGAGGAAGGUGGGGAGUGACGUCAAGUCAUCAUGGCCCUUACGUCCAGGGCGACACACGUGCUACAAUGGCAGCUACAGAGGGUCGCAAUACCGCGAGGUGGAGCCAAUCCCUAAAAGACUGUCUCAGUUGGGAUCGGAGUCUGCAACUCGACUCCGUGAACGCGGAAUCGCUAGUAAUCGUGGAUCAGCCAUGCCACGGUCGAAUACGUUCCCGGGCCUU
Molecule: ribosomal RNA, 322 nt
Filed under: uncultured Nitrospiraceae bacterium
Lineage: Bacteria; Pseudomonadati; Nitrospirota; Nitrospiria; Nitrospirales; Nitrospiraceae
Description: bacterial SSU rRNA
Rfam family: Bacterial small subunit ribosomal RNA
Source: RNAcentral